GUGAAGAACGCAGCGAAAUGCGAUACGUAAUGUGAAUUGCAGAAUUCAGUGAAUCAUCGAAUCUUUGAACGCACAUUGCGCCCCUUGGUAUUCCAUGGGGCAUGCCUGUUCGAGCGUCAUUUGUACCUUCAAGCUUUGCUUGGUGUUGGGUGUUUGUCUCGCCUUUGCGUGUAGACUCGCCUUAAAAUAAUUGGCAGCCGGCGUAUUGAUUUCGGAGCGCAGUACAUCUCGCGCUUUGCACUCAUAACGACAGCGUCCAAAAGUACAUUUUACACUCUUGACCUCGGAUCAGGUAGGGAUACCCGCUGAACUUAAGCAUAUCAAUAAGCGGAGGA
Molecule: unclassified non-coding RNA, 335 nt
Filed under: soil metagenome
Description: partial contains 5.8S ribosomal RNA, internal transcribed spacer 2, and large subunit ribosomal RNA
Rfam family: 5.8S ribosomal RNA (bases 2-119)
Source: RNAcentral